UUGUCGGGUAAGUUCCGACCUGCACGAAUGGCGUAACGAUGGCGGCGCUGUCUCCACCCGAGACUCAGUGAAAUUGAAAUCGCUGUGAAGAUGCAGUGUAUCCGCGGCUAGACGGAAAGACCCCGUGAACCUUUACUAUAGCUUUGCACUGGACUUUGAAUUUGCUUGUGUAGGAUAGGUGGGAGGCUUUGAAGCGUGGACGCCAGUUCGCGUGGAGCCAACCUUGAAAUACCACCCUGGCAACUUUGAGGUUCUAACUCAGGUCCGUUAUCCGGAUCGAGGACAGUGUAUGGUGGGUAGUUUGACUGGGGCGGUCUCCUCCUAAAGAGUAACGGAGGAGUACG
This 344-nucleotide ribosomal RNA is filed under the name Bacillus pseudomycoides. Its description in RNAcentral is "bacterial LSU rRNA". It matches the Rfam family "Bacterial large subunit ribosomal RNA", at positions 1969 to 2312 of the family's 2925-position model. The record is from RNAcentral. Lineage: Bacteria; Bacillati; Bacillota; Bacilli; Caryophanales; Bacillaceae.